Non-coding RNA from Podarcis lilfordi (Lilford's wall lizard), 82 nucleotides. NCBI's taxonomy places the organism in Eukaryota, Metazoa, Chordata, Lepidosauria, Squamata, Lacertidae. The record is from the annotation of a GenBank genome assembly.
CCCAGCACACUGUAGCUCAGGGGUAGAGCAUCUGCUUUGCAUGCAGAAGGUCCCAGGUUGAAUAACAUCUCCAGGGCUGGGA